GCCUAAAUCUGGCCCAACCACGCACAACGUCAUGCCUAAAAAAUUCACCCGAUCCUCAAACUAAAGCAUUAUCAAAACUUAGUAUAGGCGAUAGAAAAGACCAACCCACUGGCGCAAUAGAAAGCUGUACCGUAAGGGAAAGAUGAAAUAAUAAUGAAAACACAAGCAAUAAACAGCAAAGAUAAACCCUUGUACCUUUUGCAUCAUGAUUUAGCAAGAACAACCAAGCAAAACGAACUUAAGCUUGCCCCCCCGAAACCCAAGCGAGCUACUUACAGGCAGCUAUUCUGAGCGAACCCGUCUCUGUUGCAAAAGAGUGGGAUGACCUGUUAGUAGAGGUGAAAAGCCAACCGAGCUGGGUGAUAGCUGGUUGCCCGUGAAAUGAAUCUAAGUUCUACCUUAACCUUCUCCCCAUCAAUGAACUUCAACUAAUCACCCCUUAACGUGGAAAGUUAAGAGCGAUUUAAAGGAGGUACAGCCCCUUUAAAAAAGGAUACAGCCUCCCCUAGCGGAUAAAUCUUCCCCAACCUGCAACCCUGUAGGCCUUAAAGCAGCCAUCAACAAAGAAUGCGUCAAAGCUCACUACCCAAAAGAUCCAGAAACCUCAUGACUCCCUUACCCCUAACGGGCUAACCUAUACCUAUAGGAGAAUUAAUGCUAAAAUAAGUAACUUGGAGCUCCUCUCCUCUCAAGCGCAAACUUACAUUUUUCCCCAAUUAUUAACAGACCAACUAAUACUGCAGUUCUAACAAGCCCAAACAUUAAUCUUACCCUGUUACCCCAACAUUGGAGCGCCCAUUAAGAAAGAUUAAAAUCUGUAGAAGGAACUAGGCAAACCCAGGGCCCGACUGUUUACCAAAAACAUAGCCUUCAGCCGACCAAGUAUUGAAGGUGAUGCCUGCCCAGUGACAUACGUUCAACGGCCGCGGUAUCCUAACCGUGCGAAGGUAGCGCAAUCAAUUGUCCCAUAAAUCGAGACUUGUAUGAAUGGCUAAACGAGGUCCUAACUGUCUCCCACAGAUAAUCAGUGAAAUUGAUCCCCUUGUGCAAAAGCAAGAAUAACCACAUAAGACGAGAAGACCCUGUGGAACUUUAAAAUCAUCGGCCACUCCACAAACAACCCUAAACCUACUAGGCCCACUACUCUCAAAUACUGGCCCACAUUUUUCGGUUGGGGCGACCUUGGAGAAAAACAAAUCCUCCAAAAACAAGACCACACCUCUUAACCUAGAGCAACACCUCCACGUGCUAACAGCAACCAGACCCAAUACAAUUGAUUAAUGAACCAAGCUACCCCAGGGAUAACAGCGCAAUCUCCUUCAAGGGCCCAUAUCGACAGGGAGGUUUACGACCUCGAUGUUGGAUCAGGACAUCCUAAUGGUCCAGCCGCUAUUAAGGGUUCGUUUGUUCAUCGAUUAACAGUCCUACGUGAUCUGAGUUCAGACCGGAGCAAUCCAGGUCGGUUUCUAUCUAUGACGAACUUCCCCCAGUACGAAAGGACCGGGAAAGUGAGGCCAAUGCCACAAGUACGCCUCCCCCAUAAGUAAUGAACCCAACUAAAUUACCAAGGGAACGCCCUAACCCUUAUGCCCUAGAUAAGGGCCAA
Molecule: ribosomal RNA, 1606 nt
Filed under: Egretta garzetta (little egret)
Lineage: Eukaryota; Metazoa; Chordata; Aves; Pelecaniformes; Ardeidae
Description: 16S ribosomal RNA
Rfam family: Bacterial large subunit ribosomal RNA
Source: RNAcentral